CGUUGCAAUAAUACACAAAGCGCAAAGGUUCCGUGAUUAAUCACAUAUUUUAGAAACGCGUAACGAGUGCAAAUGUUUAUCGGGUGUGCCGAUUAAAGUGACGGGCGAUUGCCGGUAUUCUCGAUUAACUGCCCAGACACACGCACGUCUUCAAGCUAUUUGAAGACGUCUAAAAAACGUUAUCAGAAAAAUGACAUCUUUCACCGUGAAUUCGCGCAGCUUGAGUAAGUACACACGGUCACAGGAAUGUCUUAACACAUGAAUUUGUCAGCGAGUGUCAAGGCACAUUCUAAUUGGCGUGUGAAAUUCACACUCGUGCAAGUUCAUGUGUUAGGGCACUCCUGUAAUCGUAUACAUAUUCCGACGCUAUAGGCAUGAAUACGCGAUAUAUUUUUUAUUAGAUGUAGUAUGUCAAAACUCUUUUCCAUCGGAACUGAGUCGAGCAAAACAUAGUGGCGUUGUGUGUGCAUAUCUAUGCCUGACGACGUCCGCGUGACAUCCGUCAGGAUAUUCGUUCGUCUCGCUUGCUUCGAACGCAUGUACAAUGUCCAGUAACCGCCGAAUGUGUCGGUGACAAUUCUCAAUGAGCAUGAACUCAUUACAGAACAAAGUGCGUUUUGUAUCGCGUUUCGUAUACCGCGGCGUGGCAAAUCCGCGAUGUGAAUCCGUGAAAAGUGACCGGUGUGCGGGUUGAUUUUUCUUCGGGAGUGUGCAUGACUAACAAUGCAGAUUUCCAGUAGUCAUUGAUUCUUCGAUGAAGCCGAUGCGGACAGUCCAAGGAGAAAUUUGCGGUGGAUGGCAUACUUCAAUACCCUAUCUGAUAUAGCUUGAGAGCGUAUUUAGUUGGGGUACAACGACCGGACGCGUCGAUGCACGAUGACAGCAAAAUUCACACUCUUGGAAAGAAGACGGCAGUGACAGGGCCACGUAUACGGCACUUUCAACCCUUAAUAAAAGCCACGCUGGGGGGAUGUACGGUGAACCUACAUGAUGGACAGGCUCGCCAACUUCUCGAUGGUUCCAGAUUUUAUCUGCCAAGGCGCCCUGUGCGACCUUGCAUAUUCAAUCGAAGGUUAUUCGUGAAUAAAUAUUCAUGCUGUCGCCGUGGUCUACGUCCUGCUGAAAUCGAAGUGGCGUUAACACAGACACACAUAUAUACACAAAAUAAAAAGUUAAUGUUCCAUGUUUAUCUAGAACAGACAUUCAUUAAGACGCUCGUUAAGUUAGGAAACCAUUAGCAUGUUAGCAUACGGAAUGUAACUAAACAAAAGGAUGUUCUAAUUACAUUUUGUAGAUGUAAUUAUUGACUGAAAUUAUCACAAGAUAAUAGAUUCAGUCGUGGAAGAUAACACUUAACAGUUAUAAUAUAUCACAACGAGCUGAACAAUAAUUCUUUAAGAAAGCAUUUUUAAACAUAUAUAUAUAUAUUUCUUGGGAACUAUCCAAAAAACUAGAUCUCUUGUUUUAAUUAACAUGCACCUUUCCAUUAGCCCUACCUUUACAGCUGAUUACGGUACUCUCGUAAUUAGUAACAAUAUCUGCACGAUACUGAUCGCUAAUUAAAAGCCAGGCAUUGUUUACACACACACACAUUUAACCAUAUAAAUUAUUACAUUGUUAAGUUAUGAAUCGCGUUUAUAUACAAGAUGUCCCAAAUACGGCACCCCGUACCUAUUAUCCUUUCCAACAGUACUAUCAUUAAUUAUUAUUUUCCGUACUUUUCGAUCUCACUCUUCCCGUCGUUACUUAUUACGGACGCCCAAAGUGUCGAACGUGUAAUCCGUGCGAUGAUUCGAGUUUUACUUUGCCCGAAUGACAAAGUACGCGUCGAAAGUUUUAAAAUAUCGCGCGAUUUUUGUAUUCGCAUCUUUUUAUAACGCACUCCUAAUUUCAAUAAAUGAUUAAUUAUUUGCACUAAAUAAUGUAAGAAUUGUUCAAUUAUGUUAUACGCAUUUCUUAAUUGAACUUGAUUAUUUAUACUUUCUUUAUAAAUAUUAAUAAAACAUCGGACUUUAUUAAAUUAGAUAACAUAGUGGAUUAUUAUUCUCACUCACAUUAUCAUUUUCUUUCCCUUGAGAUAAUAGUGCCUUUACUUUAUUUAACACAUUAUAUUCCCUUGUCAUAAACUUGUCAAUUAAUAACUAUUAAUUUUUUUUGUUCUUAGUAAUAAUAAUCAAUGAAGUUUGUUUUUGGAAAACUUACGUAAUUUUUUAUCUGAUUUUUAUCGAGCAAAAAACGAAUGAUACAUAAAACAAAAGAUAACAACGAUAUCAUCCGAUUCUAGGUUUGGUACAAAACGCAUUGGGAACAAAUUGACUCCAAACUCACGCGCGUUUUACAAUUUCCGAACUCUGCUAGUUCUGCUAGUUAGAAAGCUAGUUUUUCGGUUCUACCAGCUCUAUGAUUAAAUAUUGUUGCGUAUUUCGUACGUGACAUUAUUUUUGAUAUUGUGCAAAUGAUAUGCAUUAAACGAUGAAAUUUUAUACCAAUAUUAAUUAUCAAUUCUUUGAAAUCUAAUUGUCAAUUGAAAUCACGCAUUUCUGAAUAAUGUUACAUAUUAGACAUAUUAACGAUAAAUUGUAUUUUCUAAAUCUACACCGAAAAGUUACUUUAUCGAAAGACGAAAAAUAUGUAUGCACAUGUAGCAAAGAGAUUGCAUAUACAAUAUGUGUCACGACAUAAAUGAUAUUCCUGAACACAGAUGCCAGUAUGUGUUUGAUACGCGAUCUUAUAAGAUAUAACGAACAUGAGAGUUUGCUAUAUGAUUACUAUUU
Molecule: long non-coding RNA, 2774 nt
Organism: Linepithema humile (Argentine ant)
Lineage: Eukaryota; Metazoa; Arthropoda; Insecta; Hymenoptera; Formicidae
Source: RefSeq, a predicted model, not a curated record